Molecule: small nuclear RNA, 62 nt
Organism: Otolemur garnettii (small-eared galago)
Lineage: Eukaryota; Metazoa; Chordata; Mammalia; Primates; Galagidae
Gene: U7
Rfam family: U7 small nuclear RNA
About the family: Animal histone pre-mRNAs are spliced by a different mechanism than nuclear pre-mRNAs and self-splicing introns.
Source: Ensembl
AGGUGUUACAGCUGUUUUAGAAUUUGUCUAGCAGGUUUUCUACUUUUUACCAGAAAACCUCA